RNAcentral lists this ribosomal RNA (265 nucleotides) under uncultured archaeon. RNAcentral describes it as "partial 16S ribosomal RNA". It matches the Rfam family "Archaeal small subunit ribosomal RNA", at positions 719 to 982 of the family's 1478-position model. The record is from RNAcentral.
ACACGACUACAUUAGAUACCCGUGUAGUCCUAGCCGUAAACGAUACUCGCUAGGUGUCGGCCACGGUGCGACCGUUGUCGGUGCCGUAGGGAAGCCGUGAAGCGAGCCACCUGGGAAGUACGGCCGCAAGGCUGAAACUUAAAGGAAUUGGCGGGGGAGCACAACAACGGGUGGAGCUUGCGGUUUAAUUGGAUUCAACGCCGGAAAUCUUGCCGGGACCGACAGCAACAUGAAGGCCAAGCUGAAGACUUUGCCGGAUUAGCUG